GAUGAACGCUGGCGGCGUGCUUAAUACAUGCAAGUCGAGCGGACGGACGAGACUCUUGCUUCGCUGAUGUUAGCCGCGGACGUGUGAGUAACACGUGUAUACCCUACCUAUAAUACUGGUAUCACCUCGAGAAACCGGAGCUAAUACCGUAGAAUCUUUUGAUCCGCAUUGUUCGAAAGUGAAAUACGGUCUUUCUGGAUCGUAUAGAUGGAUCCCCGCUGCAUUAGCGAGUUGUUAAGGUAACGGCUUAUCAAGGCAACCAUGCCUAACCGACCUGAGGGGGUGAUCGGCAACACUGGAACUGAGACACGGUACAGACUCCUACGGGAGGCAGAAGUAGGGAAUCGUCCGAACAGGGCGAAAGCCUGACGGAGCAACGGAGCGUGAGUGAUGCAGGUCUGCGGAUCGUAAAACGCUGUUAUUAGGAAGAACAUAUGUGUAAGUAAAUGUGCACAGAUUGACGGUAACUAGUAAGAAAGCCACGGCUAACUACGUG
This 496-nucleotide ribosomal RNA is filed under the name uncultured bacterium. RNAcentral's name for it is "partial 16S ribosomal RNA". It matches the Rfam family "Bacterial small subunit ribosomal RNA", at positions 28 to 507 of the family's 1533-position model. The record is from RNAcentral.